RNAcentral lists this ribosomal RNA (380 nucleotides) under uncultured eukaryote. RNAcentral's name for it is "partial 18S ribosomal RNA". It matches the Rfam family "Eukaryotic small subunit ribosomal RNA", at positions 592 to 976 of the family's 1831-position model. The record is from RNAcentral.
CAAUAGCGUAUAUUAAAGUUGUUGCGGUUAAAAAGCUCGUAGUUGGAUUUCUGCCGAGGACGACCGGUCCGCCCUCCGGGUGAGUAUCUGGUUUGGCCUGGGCAUCUUCUUGGAGAACGUAGCUGCACUUGACUGUGUGGUGCGGUGUCCAGGACUUUUACUUUGAGGAAAUUAGAGUGUUUCAAGCAGGCACACGCCUUGAAUACAUUAGCAUGGAAUAAUAAGAUAGGACCUCGGUUCUAUUUUGUUGGUUUCUAGAGCUGAGGUAAUGAUUAAUAGGGAUAGUUGGGGGCAUUCGUAUUUAACUGUCAGAGGUGAGAUUCUUGGAUUUGUUAAAGACGGACUACUGCGAAAGCAUUUGCCAAGGAUGUUUUCAUUGA